RNAcentral lists this long non-coding RNA (471 nucleotides) under Crocodylus porosus (Australian saltwater crocodile). Its description in RNAcentral is "lncRNA (ENSCPRG00005007384.1)". Lineage: Eukaryota; Metazoa; Chordata; Crocodylia; Crocodylidae. The record is from RNAcentral.
CUUAAAUGCUCACCUCUAUUUAUUUCACAGCAAAUGUCUCCCGUCUGAUUGAUGUGUCCAUUCCUCUCUCCCAUGAUGAGAAAAGAACAAGCCUCAAAGGCUGCCACACAGCUCCCGAGAGAGGAGAAUGCAAAGCACUAGGUUCUCUGAACCAGUGUCCGAAUGCUGAGGCUCGUGAAAUAUCCACUGAACAGACAGCUCAGUAGUUUUCAGAAGACAAAUGGGAAUUUUCCACGCAGACAAUACAAAGCUGGAACAAAACUGAUUUAUCAGCCUCCAAGUGUCCUCAGGUUUUUGGAGAUCAGACAUGUGAAUGUGCCUAUCCACCUCUACCUGCCUCGCUGCCCCUGCAAGAAGAUGUCCAGGGGAGGACAGCCUUCUGAAAUUAAUGCUGUGAUAACUCCAGUUAAGUAUGCCAGCACUGGACCAUCUGGUCCCUUUGAUGGAUAUGGAUGGCCUGCAUUUCACUGA